RNAcentral lists this small RNA (70 nucleotides) under Salix viminalis (osier). Lineage: Eukaryota; Viridiplantae; Streptophyta; Magnoliopsida; Malpighiales; Salicaceae. The record is from RNAcentral.
GAGGUAGAUGUUGAAAGUUGAAACAGAAAAGGCCUGGUCAGAGUCAUUGAUAGUGUUGAUCUGAUGCCUC